ACACUUGUAGAUUUGACUCAAACCU
This 25-nucleotide microRNA is filed under the name Eisenia fetida (common brandling worm). RNAcentral describes it as "Efe-Mir-87-o15_5p* (star (passenger))". Lineage: Eukaryota; Metazoa; Annelida; Clitellata; Crassiclitellata; Lumbricidae. The record is from RNAcentral.